GAGUCAACUUAACCUACAGGUUCCUUUGCAAUAUGGGUAAUUUUUUAUGAGUUGCUAAUUCUUAGCAGUUCAAAUCCUGCAGGUGCAGUCUGGCUUUUUA
Vault RNA from Laticauda laticaudata (blue-ringed sea krait), 100 nucleotides. Its record names the gene Vault. It matches the Rfam family "Vault RNA". From Rfam's summary of the family: This family of RNAs are found as part of the enigmatic vault ribonucleoprotein complex. The complex consists of a major vault protein (MVP), two minor vault proteins (VPARP and TEP1), and several small untranslated RNA molecules. Lineage: Eukaryota; Metazoa; Chordata; Lepidosauria; Squamata; Elapidae. The record is from Ensembl.